AUGAAAAUAGAACUCAGAUACAGUUCUGCUUAUCAUCCUCAGUCUGAUGGACAGACAGAACGUGUAAAUCAAUGCAUUGAAAAUUAUUUAAGAUGCAUGGCAUCGGCAGAGCCAAAAAAGUGGGUAUAUCAUCUUCCAAUGGCUGAGUACUGGUACAAUACUUCCUUCCAUUCUUCUCUGCAGAAAACUCCUUUUCAAGCAUUAUAUGGGUAUGAUCCUCCCAAUAUCAGUGAGUUCUCUUUACCUGGAUCUCUAGAAGUUGGCCCUGCUGGCCCUACAGUGGAUAGGCAAGCUCUCAUGGGACAGCUCAGACAGAAUUUGCAAGCAGCUCAGGCUCGAAUGGUCAAGUUUGCAGAUAAGAAGAGAACUGAACGAGUACUAGCUCCUGGAGAUAUGGUUUAUCUGAAACUGCAACCCUACAGGCUCAAUGCUUUCGGUAUCCGACACCAUAUCAAGCUGCAAAGCAAGUAUUAUGGACCCUUUCGAGUGUUGAGCAAAGUUGGUAAUGUGGCUUAUAAGCUGUUCUUGCCAGCAGAUUCCCAAAUCCAUCCGGUAUUCCACAUUAGUCAACUUAAAAAGCAUAUUGGCCCAACAGCAGUUCCUUGCACGGAUCUACCCUUAAUUGGACCAAAUGGACAGAUAAGGACUGAACCAGUACUUGUCUUGGAAAUUCGUCAAAUACCACGGAACAAUGUUGCGGUGGUGCAGUGGCUCGUUCAGUGGGAGAACUUACCACCUGAAGAUGCUUCCUGGGAAGAUGCUGAUUUUAUCAAACACACAUUUCCGGGAUUCUUCAAGCAAACGGUGGAGAGCUGGCGGAAGCACGGCCCACCUUGA
This 837-nucleotide ribosomal RNA is filed under the name Triticum aestivum (bread wheat). RNAcentral's name for it is "partial small subunit ribosomal RNA". Lineage: Eukaryota; Viridiplantae; Streptophyta; Magnoliopsida; Poales; Poaceae. The record is from RNAcentral.